GUAAUCUCUUUUUUUCUGUGAUUGUUUCUGAGCCUUUUCAUAAGCAUCCCAUUUGCUUGGAACAGCUGUAGAGUGGCCUGAAUGCUGCCUCCACUUCUGGAGUGGGGUAGUGCCAUCCCAAAAUAUUCCCCAGUGGCAGGAGAUGAGGUAAGGUGGAUGGAAUGCAAUCUAUUUUUUCCUGUGAUUGGUUCUGAGCCAUUUUGUGAGCAUCCCAUUGGCUUGCAGCAGUGGUAUGCUGGCCAGGAUGUCGCCACCCCUAUGGGAGUGGAAAUGUGCCAACCUGUAAUACUCCCAAAUUUCAUCAGAUGAGGGAAAUUGGACGGAAUGCAUUCUCCUUAUUCCUGUGAAUGGUUCUAAGCCAUUUGAGAUGCUUCCCAUUAGAUUGGAAGUGCCAUAGGGCAGCGCAGAAGCCGUCUCCACUACGGGAGCUGGGUUGAGCCAGGCCAGAAUGCUCAAUGUGGCAGGAGAUGUGUUAUGGCAGAUUGAAUGCAAUGGCUUUUUUCAUGUGAUUUUUUCUGAUCCAUUUUGGAAGCAUCCCAUUAGCUGAGAGGAGCCAUAAAGUGGCUACCAUGAUGAUUCCUCCAUGGGAGUGGCAUUGUGCCAUCCAAAAAUAUUCCCUCAUGGCAGCAGAUGUGGUUAUGUGGACUGCAUGCAUUCUCAUCUUUGUUGUGAGCAGUUCUGUGCCAUUUCAGAGGCAUCAAAGUUGCUGGGAGAGGCCGAUGAGUAGCUCUGAAACCGCCUCCACUACUGGAGUGGGGUUGUGGAGGACAGAAUCCUCCCCUGUGGCUGGGAGUGUGUUCUAGAUGAAAUUAUGCAAUAUCUUUUAACUGUGAGUCUUUAUGAGCCAUUUCCAAAGCAUCCCAUUAGCUUGGAACAGCCGUACAGUGGCCUGAAAUCCACCUCCACUUCUGGAAUGGGGUAGUGCCAUCCCAAAAUAUUCCCCCAUGGCAGGAGAUGUGGUAAGGUGAAUGGAACAAAAUCUCUUUUCUCCUGUGAUGGGUUCUGAGCCAUUUUGGAAGCUUCCUAUUAGCUGAGAGCAGCCACAGUAUGUCUAGGAGGCGGUCUCCUCUAUGUGUGAGCCAUUGUGCCAUCCCAAAAUGAACCCCCAUGGCAGGAGAUGUGUUUAGGUGUAUUGAAUGCAUUCUCCUCUUUAUUUUGAGGAGUUCUGAGCUAUUUCAGAGGUAUGCAAUAUGCUGGGAGAGGCCGUAGAAUAAACAGAAAGCCGCCUCUACAACUGGAAUGGGUUUGUGCCAGGCCAGAAUCCCCACCCGUGGCUGGAGAUGCGUUUGAGCAAACUAUAGGAAAUCUCUUUUUUCUGUGAUAGUUUCUGAUCCAUUUCAUAAGCUUCCCUUUUGCUUGGAACAGCCAUACAGUUGCCUGAAAUCCACCUCCAUUUCUGGAGUGGGGUUGUGCCAUCCCAAAAUAUUCCCCUGUGGCAAGAGAUGUGGUAAGGUGGAUAGAAUGCAAUCUCUUUUUUCCUGUGAUUGAUUCUGAGACAUUUUGGAAGCAUCCCAUUAGCUGAGAGAGGCUGGCUGGUGGACCAAAAACACCUCCUCUAUAGGACCAAUUUUGUGCCAUGCCAGGAUCUUCCCCUGUGGCAGGAAAUGUGGUAAGGCAUCAAACGCAUUCUCUUUUUCCCUCUGAGUGGUUCUGAGCUGUUUUUGAAGCAAUCAAUUAGCCUGCAGCAGUGGUUCAGUGGCCUGGAAGCUGCCACCCUUAUAGCAGUGGCAUUGUGCUAAACUGUAAUGUUCCCCCAUUUGCAGAGAUCAGGUAAAAUUGAUGGAUUGCAUUCUCUUUACUCCUGUGAAUGGUUGUGAGCCAUUUCAAAACACCCCAUGAGAUUUGAAGGGCCUUGUGGUGGCCCGGAAUACACCUCUACUAUGGGAGCUGCCUGGUGCCAGGCUAGACUCCUCAAUGUUGUAGAGGAUAUAUUAUGGCAGAUGUAAUACAAUAGAUUUUUUCAUAUGAUAGUUCCUGACCCAUUUUGGAAGCAUCCCAUUAGUUGGGAGCAGCCAUAGAUUGGCUCGGAUUCAGCCUCCACUAUAGGCAUGGCAUUGUGCCUUUCAAAAAUAUCCCCUGUGGCAGAAGAUGAUGUUAGAAGGAUCGCACGCAUUCUCAUCUUUCUUUUGAGCAGUUCUGAUCCAUUUCAGAGGCAUUUAAUUUGCUGGGAGAGGCCGUAGAGUAGCCCGGAAGGAGACUCCGCUGCUGGAGUUGGGUUAUGCCAGCCCAGAAUCCUCCCCCAUGACUGGAGAUGUGUUCUGGCAAAUUAAAGGUAGUCUCUUUUUUUCUGUGAUUGUUUCUGAGCCAUUUCAAAAGCAUUCCAUUUGCUUGGAACAGCUGUAGAGUGGCCUGAAUGCUGCCUCCACUUCUGGAGUGGGGUAGUGCCAUCCCAAAAUAUUCCCCAGUGGCAGGAGAUGAGAGGCAUCAAAUUUGCUGUGAGAAGCUGUUGACUGGCCCUGAUGCUGCCUCAACUCCUGGAGUGUGGUUGUGCCAGGACAGAAUCCUUCCUCGUGGCUGGAGAUGUGUUCUGGAUGAAUGUGACAGGGAUCAACCUUGAGAACUUGCGCUUGUGAGACAGGCGCUAGAACCACUGAGCUAAAUCACCGGUCCCAUUAAUUAUCAUAUUGCCAAAUAUAAAAUUGUAAAAGUGAAUAAGAAAAUAAAAUUAAUGUUCCAUGGAAAUAGCUGAAUGACAUAAACUGUUGAUUUAUAAGACAAAUGAGAAUGCACAUUACCUCAAAAUUAGAAGGAAAAUUUAGAAAUGAUUUUAUUCUGCAAUGCAAAUUUUAAAAUAUUUGUUCAAAAAUAUUAGUGUGAUUUUUUUUGUGCUGUUAUCAAUGAGUACAUGUUACUUUUCAAAACAC
Molecule: long non-coding RNA, 2864 nt
Filed under: Heterocephalus glaber (naked mole-rat)
Lineage: Eukaryota; Metazoa; Chordata; Mammalia; Rodentia; Bathyergidae
Description: lncRNA (ENSHGLG00000033354.1)
Source: RNAcentral